Molecule: unclassified non-coding RNA, 615 nt
Filed under: Nemania sp.
Lineage: Eukaryota; Fungi; Ascomycota; Sordariomycetes; Xylariales; Xylariaceae
Description: partial contains 18S rRNA, ITS1, 5.8S rRNA, ITS2, and 28S rRNA
Rfam family: 5.8S ribosomal RNA (bases 235-388)
Source: RNAcentral
GGAAGUAAAAGUCGUAACAAGGUCUCCGUUGGUGAACCAGCGGAGGGAUCAUUACAGAGUUAUCUAAACUCCCAAACCCAUGUGAACAUACCUCGCGUUGCCUCGGCAGGUGGCGUCCUACCCCGCGAGACCUACCCUGUAGGACCCGUACCCGGUAAGGCGACCCUGCCGACGGCCCCCGAAACUCUGUUUUUUAUAGCAUUGGACUUCUGAAACGAUAACUAAAUCAGUUAAAACUUUCAACAACGGAUCUCUUGGUUCUGGCAUCGAUGAAGAACGCAGCGAAAUGCGAUAAGUAAUGUGAAUUGCAGAAUUCAGUGAAUCAUCGAAUCUUUGAACGCACAUUGCGCCCACUAGUAUUCUGGUGGGCAUGCCUGUUCGAGCGUCAUUUCAACCCUUAAGCCCCUGUUGCUUAGCGUUGGGAGCCUACUGAAACUCUCCUGUAGCUCUCCAAAGUCAGUGGCGGAGCCGGUUCGCACUCCAGACGUAGUAGCUUUUACACAUCGCCUGUAGCUUGGACCCGGUCCCCUGCCGUAAAACACCCCCCAUCUUAUAGGUUGACCUCGGAUCAGGUAGGAAUACCCGCUGAACUUAAGCAUAUCAAUAAGCGGAGGA